UACGUAGGGGGCGAGCGUUGUCCGGAUUUAUUGGGCGUAAAGAGCGUGUAGGCGGCCAGGUAGGUCUGCUGUGAAAACUCGAGGCUCAACCUCGAGACGUCGGCGGAAACCAUCUGGCUAGAGUCCGGAAGAGGAGAGUGGAAUUCCUGGUGUAGCGGUGAAAUGCGCAGAUAUCAGGAGGAACACCGGUGGCGAAGGCGGGUCUCUGGGCCACUACUGACGCUGAGAAGCGAAAGCAUGGGGAGCGAACAGG
Molecule: ribosomal RNA, 253 nt
Filed under: uncultured bacterium
Lineage: Bacteria
Description: partial 16S ribosomal RNA
Rfam family: Bacterial small subunit ribosomal RNA
Source: RNAcentral